GUUAGGUCAGGAGGAGGGGAUGGGGGGGCUGGUUGUCUGGGUAAUGUUAGGUCAGGAGGAGGGGAUGGGGGGGCUGGUUGUCUGGGUAAUGUUAGGUCAGGAGGAGGGGAUGGGGGGGUGCUGGUUCUCUGGGUAAUGUUAGGUCAGGAGGAGGAGAUGGGUGCUGGUUCUGGGUAAAAGGUCAGGAGGGGGCAGUGGAGGCACUACUGGAGGGUGGAGAGUUGAGGCUAUAAAGGAAGUCUGAAAGGUGUUCUGAAGACCAGGCGUAAUAUGAAGGACAGAUGGCUGCUCACCAUCGACAUCUAAAAUCUAUCCAGCCUCCAUUAGUCAAAACCAAUGUCUCACUAUAUGUACAGUAGAACUCUUAUUUAUGCCAGUGAGACAGUCAGCCUCUAGUUUGCACCCACAAUUGAGGACCCAUUUCAGGGCGCCCAUUGAUCAUCUCUGGUUUUUCAAUCUGUCACUUCCAUUGUUUGUUUCUAUUUGACACAUAAUCACAAUCUUUUUUUGAUACUAGAUCAAGGUAAUGUGAGUCUGUGAAACAUUGACACUUCUCCAUUGUAUCCAUAAGAUUUCAAUGGAGUUUGACCUUUCUGUCUUGGGUUUAUGGGCUGUAGAUUAUUGCACUAAAUUGUACAGAGCUUCUAAUCUAAAUACCCUUUCUCAUUUCACUUAAUUUUAAGACAGUUGCUAUUUUAAGGGAGAACCAUUCUAAGUGUUUUAUUUCUAUGCUUUGGAGCCCUAUGAUGCCAUUUGCUCUUUGGCUGAGGGUUCCAUUAACAAAUGAAGAAAGAGUGUGGUUGAAGUGAUGGAAAGAGUGUGGGUGUGUUCGUUUAGGAUGUAUGUGAAUAAAGGGCUUUAUUCAUUCUGGUGAAUAAGGCGGAGGCCAUUCGAAUUCCGCUAGAUUGGCAGGUCCAAGAAGGUCCCCUGUUUUUGAGAACCUUCUUACCAUAGGCACAUCUCUCCCACCCCGCAGUUGUUUUGGAAAAUAGUUAUUUUUGAAUGUUGAUGGUUCCACGCUGUGUCGAAUGUUGACAGCCCAUGCAAGUUGUUUUAAUUAAUGGGGGUAUUUAAUCAUAAGGUGAUUGAUUUCUGCUGGAACAGUCUUACAGAAGUGCUGUUUUUGAUGAGGUAAUGUCUAGUGUUGAAUGACAUGAGGAAAGGAGCAGUUGUGGAGCAGGUUUUCAGGUGUAAGGUGUUUGUUUCUACCUGGUCUGCACUACGACUGUCUCUGAACCAAGUCUACCCUGUUAGCGGACCACGUGUUUGCAGUACAAGUUCAAGUGGUUUCUUUUUUAAGAAAACACGCUAUCUGAUUUUUAAGUUCCUAGCUUUAAUAGCAUUCUUUUUUUCUUUACGAAAAUAUUGUAAUACAAAAAUUCUGCGUUUGUUUUGCUAGUGGUAAAACAAAGUUGAAUUUUAUAGUAAUUUAAUUUUGUUCCUGGGGGUGGUGAUUGCAAAUAUUUGUGAAAUGAAACGUUUUUUUCCACACGUUUCUUUGAGUGGUUGUGUGUGUUUGAGAUAAUUGUGAUGAAACGGAGGUAAAGGCCUUCUGUUGUAAAGGAGCUGUAUAUACUGUAACAUAUUGUAUAUUUCUUUUGGGGCUGCUGUGUGGAAACAAGGGUUACGGAUGGUUGGAGUGUUGCUAGCAGCCCAUAGUGUUAGUCUGUGUCUGAGCUAUUGUUGGCUUAAGCACACAGACAGCUAAAGUGAAGGUGUGGGAUGGCUGAUUGAAUACAAAGUUUAACUAAAUGAAAAAACAUAUUUAUUUGGAAUCAGUAUCAAAACCAAUCAGUUUUAAUGUAAUUUAGACUUGAACGAAAUGGCUUCUGACAGUAAAUUUUUGAUGUGAUUUAUCCUGUAUGAUUAUUUUGGUUCAUUCUCUUGAAUAAAACAAAUCAAGCAAA
This is a long non-coding RNA of Esox lucius (northern pike), 1907 nucleotides long. The record is from Ensembl. Lineage: Eukaryota; Metazoa; Chordata; Actinopteri; Esociformes; Esocidae.